RNAcentral lists this microRNA precursor (121 nucleotides) under Podarcis lilfordi (Lilford's wall lizard). The record is from RNAcentral. Lineage: Eukaryota; Metazoa; Chordata; Lepidosauria; Squamata; Lacertidae.
AACUAAGUUUGUUAUUGGUAUGAGCUUUCGUGUGCAUGCACACUUCUUCAGAUACAUCUGAAGUGUGUCUGAAGAAGUGUGCAUGCACACAAAAGCUCAUAUCUUUAACAAACUUAGUUGG